GCGGACAUGGCGGAAUUGGCAGACGCGCUAGGUUCAGGUCCUAGUCGGGGUUAUACUCGGUGCAGGUUCAAGUCCUGUUGUCCGCA
Molecule: transfer RNA, 86 nt
Filed under: Eubacteriales bacterium
Lineage: Bacteria; Bacillati; Bacillota; Clostridia; Eubacteriales
Description: tRNA-Leu
Rfam family: tRNA
About the family: Transfer RNA (tRNA) molecules are approximately 80 nucleotides in length. Their secondary structure includes four short double-helical elements and three loops (D, anti-codon, and T loops).
Source: RNAcentral